CAACCACAUAAAAACCAUUUCCAUAAGCCUAAAAAAAACCGAACCCGAACAUGUCGAAGGUUUACUUCACAGUAAUCUUGUUCGCGCUCUUGAUCACAAUGUCUCACGUGACAUGCACGAGAGAGAUGGGAGACUCGGGAGAGGACAAGUCGAGGAAGGUGCCGUGCACUUCGGACAGCGACUGUGGAUUGAUGAGAUGCUUCGUAGGUGUGCCUAAAUGCGUUAGUGGCGUUUGCCAUUGUCGCUUCAAACCUACUAAUGCCCCCGAAGCAAUCUGAGACCGUUUUAGCAUUUUGUUGUUCUGAAUUAAUAAAUAAAUAAAUCAAUCAAUCUUGACAAAGUUUCUUUUAUGUCUCA
Molecule: long non-coding RNA, 357 nt
Organism: Tarenaya hassleriana
Lineage: Eukaryota; Viridiplantae; Streptophyta; Magnoliopsida; Brassicales; Cleomaceae
Exons: 2
Source: RefSeq, a predicted model, not a curated record